UCCUACGGGAGGCAGCAGUGAGGAAUAUUGGUCAAUGGGCGAGAGCCUGAACCAGCCAAGUCGCGUGAGGGACGACGGUCCUAUGGAUUGUAAACCUCUUUUGUCGGGGAGCAACGAGACCACGCGUGGUCAAAGGGAGAGUACCCGAAGAAAAAGCAUCGGCUAACUCCGUGCCAGCAGCCGCGGUAAUACGGAGGAUGCGAGCGUUAUCCGGAUUUAUUGGGUUUAAAGGGUGCGUAGGCGGAAGUUUAAGUCAGUGGUUAAACUGCGGGGCUCAACCCCGUAUCGCCAUUGAAACUGGAUUUCUAGAGUGGGUGAGAAGUACGCGGAAUGCGUGGUGUAGCGGUGAAAUGCAUAGAUAUCACGCAGAACUCCGAUUGCGAAGGCAGCGUACCGGCGCCCAACUGACGCUGAAGCACGAAAGCGUGGGUAUCGAACAGGAUUAGAUACCCUGGUAGUCC
RNAcentral lists this ribosomal RNA (461 nucleotides) under uncultured bacterium. RNAcentral's name for it is "bacterial SSU rRNA". It matches the Rfam family "Bacterial small subunit ribosomal RNA", at positions 337 to 796 of the family's 1533-position model. The record is from RNAcentral.